AACGCGAAGAACCUUACCUAAGCUUGACAUCCUUUUGACCUCUCCCUAAUCGGAGAUUUCCCUUCGGGGACAAAAGUGACAGGUGGUGCAUGGUUGUCGUCAGCUCGUGUCGUGAGAUGUUGGGUUAAGUCCCGCAACGAGCGCAACCCUUGCCUUUAGUUGCCAGCAUUAAGUUGGGCACUCUAGAGGGACUGCCAGGGAUAACCUGGAGGAAGGUGGGGAUGACGUCAAAUCAUCAUGCCCCUUAUGCUUAGGGCUACACACGUGCUACAAUGGGUGGUACAGAGGGCAGCCAAGUCGUGAGGCGGAGCUAAUCCCUUAAAGCCAUUCUCAGUUCGGAUUGUAGGCUGAAACUCGCCUACAUGAAGCUGGAGUUACUAGUAAUCGCAGAUCAGAAUGCUGCGGUGAAUGCGUUCCCGGGUCUUGUACACACCG
This 435-nucleotide ribosomal RNA is filed under the name uncultured bacterium. Its description in RNAcentral is "bacterial SSU rRNA". It matches the Rfam family "Bacterial small subunit ribosomal RNA", at positions 958 to 1392 of the family's 1533-position model. The record is from RNAcentral.